Lytechinus variegatus (green sea urchin) is the source of this 1030-nucleotide long non-coding RNA. RefSeq lists it as uncharacterized. The transcript has 2 exons. NCBI's taxonomy places the organism in Eukaryota, Metazoa, Echinodermata, Echinoidea, Temnopleuroida, Toxopneustidae. The record is from RefSeq and is a predicted model, not a curated record.
AAGCAACUUUUCAUCAAAAGAUUAGCUUUGAAAACCUAUGAUAAUGUCAUUUAAAUUAAUCGAGUGUCGCCGAUGUUUUGGGCGAUGUCCGGGUCAAAUUUGUAACGGUGGAUCACAUUUCAUCGCGUAUGUAAGAAGGAGACACCGGAGAAGAGACCGUCGUUGUAUCAGACGGACGGGAUGUUAGCCGCGAUCCACAUGCACAUGAACAGCCACGAUGUCGGGCUUUUUGAAGCAUCGCAGUUGGGAAUCUUCCUGCGAUGUCCGUGAAACGGUGGAUUGGAUCUCCACGAUGUUUUCCCUUUCAAAGCAACGUAGCCUCUGUUGAAGGUUAAAAUGUAUAUCUUCAGUACAUGAAGUGUCAAUCUGGUGACCUGUACUCCUGGCCUGAUGGCGAGGCACAAUUCUACCUCUAUCCAUUGGGUCACCGAUCUUCUUGAAGUUCAUAAACUUGUAACCUGAAUGCAGAGAGAAAUAUUGCAUGUUAUUUCUAAUAGUCAGGUUUAGUGUACAGUGUAAUACAUUUUUUACAUUUGCCAGUAAGAAGUUUACCAUAUAGUUUUUAACUAAAGGAAAAGAUUGUACUUUGCAGUUUUAUACUUGAACAUUUAUUAGAAUAGCUUAGUAGAAAUAGUACAUUUUACUCUCUCAUUCACAACUCUAUGUUCAAACAACAGGUGUAAGUUUUUUUAUUCAAUUUGUCCACUAAGUACUUUACAAUUGUCCUUUUGGCAUGCUGGAACUUAAUGUUUUAUCCAAUGCAUCUAUUCCAGUGAUGACAUGAUUAUAUUUUAAUUAAAGUCACUUAGAACUACAUUACCAUGUAACUGAGGUAAAACAAAUUAGAGUAAACAAAUUGAACAAGUUAUGUGUGUAAGGUAUUAAUGCACUGUCCAUGAAUUGCAUGCCAACUUUGUCUUGUUUUGUCUUGAAAAACCAUAGCUUAGAAGAACUAAACUAGUACCUUUUCCCUACAUCUUUUUCACCCGAGUAUUGUAUCAAAGGUAUCAAAAUUAUAAUCGUGUACAUG